RNAcentral lists this unclassified non-coding RNA (241 nucleotides) under uncultured fungus. Its description in RNAcentral is "sequence contains ITS1, 5.8S rRNA gene". The stretch from base 193 to 241 matches the Rfam family "5.8S ribosomal RNA", at positions 1 to 49 of the family's 154-position model. Lineage: Eukaryota; Fungi. The record is from RNAcentral.
UUUCCGUAGGUGAACCUGCGGAAGGAUCAUUACAGAGUUCGUGCCUUUCGGGGUAGACCUCCCACCCUUUGUAUACAUACCAUUGUUGCUUCGGCGGCUCGCCGCAAGGCCCUCGGCUUCGGCUGGGGCGUGGCCGCCGGAGGACCCCCAACCCUGAAUUCCAGUGUCGUCCGAGUACUAUAUAUUAGUUAAACCUUUCAACAACGGAUCUCUUGGUUCUGGCAUCGAUGAGGAACGCAGC